Molecule: ribosomal RNA, 490 nt
Filed under: uncultured bacterium
Lineage: Bacteria
Description: partial 16S ribosomal RNA
Rfam family: Bacterial small subunit ribosomal RNA
Source: RNAcentral
AGUGAACGCUGGCGGCAGGCCUAACACAUGCAAGUCGAACGGCAGCACAGCACAGCUUGCUCACGAGGUGGCGACGGGCGAACGGGUCAGGAAUACAUCGCAAGCCGCCCAGUCUAGGGGGAUAACAUAGUAAAACAUACCCUAAUACCUCAUACGACCUUCGGGUGAAAGAGUGGGAUCGCAAGACCUCUCUCGAGUCGAUGACCCGAUGUCUGAUUAGCUAGUUAGCGGGGUAAUGACCCACCAAGGCGACGAUCCGUAGCUGGUCUGAGAGGACGAUCAGCCACACUGGAACUGAGACACGGUCCAGACUCCUACGGGAGGCAGCAGUGGGGAAUAUUGGACAAUGGGCGCAAGCCUGAUCCAGCAAUGCCGCGUGGAUGAAGAAGGCCUUCGGGUUGUAAAGACCUUUUGUUGGGAACGAAACGUUUCAGGCUAAUACCCUGGGAGGAUGACGGUACCGAAAGAAUAAGCACCGGCUAACUACGUG